CGCAUUCAGUUGCCAUCGGGUAAGUGCCGGGCACUCUGGAAGGACUGCCAUCGACAAGAUGGAGGAAGGUGGGGAGUGACGUCAAGUCAUCAUGGCCCUUAUGUCCAGGGCGACACACGUGCUACAAUGGCCGGCACAACGGGAAGCGAGUUCGCGAGGACGAGCGGAUCCCUUAAAGCCGGUCGCAGUUCGGAUUGAAGUCUGCAACUCGACUUCAUGAAGCUGGAAUCGCUAGUAAUCGUGGAUCAGCCAAGCCGCGGUGAAUACGUUCCCGGGCCUU
RNAcentral lists this ribosomal RNA (280 nucleotides) under uncultured Synergistaceae bacterium. RNAcentral's name for it is "partial 16S ribosomal RNA". It matches the Rfam family "Bacterial small subunit ribosomal RNA", at positions 1106 to 1382 of the family's 1533-position model. Lineage: Bacteria; Thermotogati; Synergistota; Synergistia; Synergistales; Synergistaceae. The record is from RNAcentral.